UACAGAGGUCCCAAGCGUUGUUCGGAUUUACUGGGCGUAAAGGGUGCGUAGGCGGCUCAGAAAGUAGGGUGUGAAAGCCCUCGGCUCAACCGAGGAAUUGCGCUCUAAACUACUGUGCUUGAGGGACCUAGAGGUGAGCGGAACUGAUGGUGGAGCGGUGAAAUGCGUUGAUAUCAUCAGGAACACCGGAGGCGAAGGCGGCUCACUGGGGGUCUUCUGACGCUGAGGAACGAAAGCGUGGGUAGCAAACGGG
This 253-nucleotide ribosomal RNA is filed under the name uncultured bacterium. RNAcentral's name for it is "partial 16S ribosomal RNA". It matches the Rfam family "Bacterial small subunit ribosomal RNA", at positions 524 to 776 of the family's 1533-position model. The record is from RNAcentral.